Molecule: ribosomal RNA, 345 nt
Filed under: uncultured Glomeromycotina
Lineage: Eukaryota; Fungi; Glomeromycota
Description: partial large subunit ribosomal RNA
Rfam family: Eukaryotic large subunit ribosomal RNA
Source: RNAcentral
GUGUGAGAGGAAAAUUCUCCUAAGGCUAAAUAACGGCGAGAGACCGAUAGCGAACAAGUACCGUGAGGGAAGAUGAAAAGAACUUUGAAAAGAGAGUUAAAUAGUACGUGAAAUUGUUGAAAGGGAAACGAUUGAAGCCAGUCGUACCUUCGGGUAAUCAGCCUUUUGGGUGCGAUUCUGUGGAGUGUGAGGAGGUUAACCCCUUCUCGCCUCGGUAUUUUUGGGCUUUGGGUGUGCUUGCCCGUGUGGUUGGUUAACAUCACUUUUUUGGUCCACAAAAUGACUGGAGGAUGGUUCUUUCCAAUUUUUCUCGGUAGUUGGGAAAAAAAAUAACUUACCGAAAAA